GACGAACGCUGGCGGCGUGCUUAACACAUGCAAGUCGAACGGAAAGUGCCUGCCUUUGUGGGGUGCUCGAGUGACGAGCGGGUGACUCACACGUGAGUUACCUGCCUCUGACGGAGGGAUAUUUUCAGGAAAGUUGGGCUACUACCGGAUAAGUGCUCGUGCUGCUUGGUGGUGGUUGGAUAGUUUCGGUGGUGAGGGGUGGACUCGCGGGUUAUUAGCUGGUUGGGGGGGUAGUGGCUUAGCAAGGCAUUGGUGGGUAGCCGGCCUGAGAGGGGGACCGGCCACCUUGGGACUGAGCUACGGCCCGGACUAGUACGGGAGGCAGGAGUGGGGAAUAGUGCACGAUGGACGGAAGCCUGGUGCAGCAACGCCGCGUGCGGGGUGAUGGACUUCGGGUUGUGAAGCACAUUCCCCUGUGACGGAGCGUGAGUGACGGUACUGGGUGAAGAAGCACCGGCUAACUACGUG
Molecule: ribosomal RNA, 468 nt
Filed under: uncultured bacterium
Lineage: Bacteria
Description: partial 16S ribosomal RNA
Rfam family: Bacterial small subunit ribosomal RNA
Source: RNAcentral